RNAcentral lists this ribosomal RNA (253 nucleotides) under uncultured bacterium. Its description in RNAcentral is "partial 16S ribosomal RNA". It matches the Rfam family "Bacterial small subunit ribosomal RNA", at positions 524 to 776 of the family's 1533-position model. The record is from RNAcentral.
UACGUAGGCAGCGAGCGUUGUUCGGAGUUACUGGGCGUAAAGCGUGCGUAGGCGGUUUUGUAAGUUUGGUGUGAAAUCUCCCGGCUUAACUGGGAGGGUGCGCCGAAAACUGCAAGGCUGGAGUGUGGGAGAGGUAGGCGGAAUUCCUGGUGUAGCGGUGAAAUGCGUAGAUAUCUGGAGGAACACCGGUGGCGAAGGCGGCGUCCUGGACCAAUACUGACACUGAGGAGCGAAAGCCAGGGGAGCAAACGGG